CUGCGGCAGCGAACGUAUCACCCAAGACAACUUUACGGAGUUGACGAUUGACGGAGCGAAGCGACGUCAAAGCGUUCAUUAAAGUCGAGUUGGCUUAGGGAUACGUUCGUUGGGUAGGGGAGCGUUCUGUAAGCCUGUGAAGGUGUGUCGUGAGGCAUGCUGGAGGUAUCAGAAGUGCGAAUGCUGACAUAAGUAACGAUAAAGCGGGUGAAAAGCCCGCUCGCCGGAAGACCAAGGGUUCCUGUCCAACGUUAAUCGGGGCAGGGUGAGUCGACCCCUAAGGCGAGGCCGAAAGGCGUAGUCGAUGGGAAACGGGUUAAUAUUCCCGUACUUGGUGUUACUGCGAAGGGGGGACGGAGAAGGCUAUGUUGGCCGGGCGACGGUUGUCCCGGUUUAAGCGUGUAGGUGUGUGUUCCAGGUAAAUCCGGUUCACUUUAACACUGAGGCGUGACGACGAGGCACUACGGUGCUGAAGCAACAAAUGCCCUGCUUCCAGGAAAAGCCUCUAAGCAUCAGGUAACAUCAAAUCGUACCCCAAACCGACACAGGUGGUCAGGUAGAGAAUACCAAGGCGCUUGAGAGAACUCGGGUGAAGGAACUAGGCAAAAUGGUGCCGUAACUUCGGGAGAAGGCACGCUGACACGUAGGUGAAGUGAUUUACUCAUGGAGCUGAAGUCAGUCGAAGAUACCAGCUGGCUGCAACUGUUUAUUAAAAACACAGCACUGUGCAAACACGAAAGUGGACGUAUACGGUGUGACGCCUGCCCGGUGCCGGAAGGUUAAUUGAUGGGGUCAGCGCAAGCGAAGCUCCUGAUCGAAGCCCCGGUAAACGGCGGCCGUAACUAUAACGGUCCUAAGGUAGCGAAAUUCCUUGUCGGGUAAGUUCCGACCUGCACGAAUGGCGUAAUGAUGGCCAGGCUGUCUCCACCCGAGACUCAGUGAAAUUGAACUCGCUGUGAAGAUGCAGUGUACCCGCGGCAAGACGGAAAGACCCCGUGAACCUUUACUAUAGCUUGACACUGAACAUUGAGCCUUGAUGUGUAGGAUAGGUGGGAGGCUUUGAAGUGUGGACGCCAGUCUGCAUGGAGCCGACCUUGAAAUACCACCCUUUAAUGUUUGAUGUUCUAACGUGGACCCGUAAUCCGGGUUGCGGACAGUGUCUGGUGGGUAGUUUGACUGGGGCGGUCUCCUCCUAAAGAGUAACGGAGGAGCACGAAGGUUGGCUAAUCCUGGUCGGACAUCAGGAGGUUAGUGCAAUGGCAUAAGCCAGCUUGACUGCGAGCGUGACGGCGCGAGCAGGUGCGAAAGCAGGUCAUAGUGAUCCGGUGGUUCUGAAUGGAAGGGCCAUCGCUCAACGGAUAAAAGGUACUCCGGGGAUAACAGGCUGAUACCGCCCAAGAGUUCAUAUCGACGGCGGUGUUUGGCACCUCGAUGUCGGCUCAUCACAUCCUGGGGCUGAAGUAGGUCCCAAGGGUAUGGCUGUUCGCCAUUUAAAGUGGUACGCGAGCUGGGUUUAGAACGUCGUGAGACAGUUCGGUCCCUAUCUGCCGUGGGCGCUGGAGAACUGAGGGGGGCUGCUCCUAGUACGAGAGGACCGGAGUGGACGCAUCACUGGUGUUCGGGUUGUCAUGCCAAUGGCACUGCCCGGUAGCUAAAUGCGGAAGAGAUAAGUGCUGAAAGCAUCUAAGCACGAAACUUGCCCCGA
Molecule: ribosomal RNA, 1705 nt
Filed under: Salmonella enterica
Lineage: Bacteria; Pseudomonadati; Pseudomonadota; Gammaproteobacteria; Enterobacterales; Enterobacteriaceae
Also listed under: 1 other name
Description: bacterial LSU rRNA
Rfam family: Bacterial large subunit ribosomal RNA
Source: RNAcentral